RNAcentral lists this ribosomal RNA (218 nucleotides) under uncultured bacterium. RNAcentral describes it as "partial 16S ribosomal RNA". It matches the Rfam family "Bacterial small subunit ribosomal RNA", at positions 328 to 539 of the family's 1533-position model. The record is from RNAcentral.
ACGCUCGACACCUACGGGUGGCAGCAGUGAGGAAUAUUGGUCAAUGGGCGCUAGCCUGAACCAGCCAAGUAGCGUGAAGGAUGAAGGCUCUAUGGGUCGUAAACUUCUUUUAUAUAAGAAUAAAGUGCAGUAUGUAUACUGUUUUGUAUGUAUUAUAUGAAUAAGGAUCGGCUAACUCCGUGCUAGCAGCCGCGGUAAUCUGAGCGGGCUGGCAAGGC